This 429-nucleotide ribosomal RNA is filed under the name Gemmatimonadota bacterium. RNAcentral's name for it is "Gemmatimonadetes bacterium partial 16S ribosomal RNA". It matches the Rfam family "Bacterial small subunit ribosomal RNA", at positions 355 to 776 of the family's 1533-position model. The record is from RNAcentral. Lineage: Bacteria; Pseudomonadati; Gemmatimonadota.
UAGGGAAUCUUCGGCAAUGGACGAAAGUCUGACCGAGCAACGCCGCGUGAGUGAAGAAGGUUUUCGGAUCGUAAAACUCUGUUGUUAGAGAAGAACAAGGAGGUUAGUAACUGAACGUCCCCUGACGGUAUCUAACCAGAAAGCCACGGCUAACUACGUGCCAGCAGCCGCGGUAAUACGUAGGUGGCAAGCGUUGUCCGGAUUUAUUGGGCGUAAAGCGAGCGCAGGCGGUUUCUUAAGUCUGAUGUGAAAGCCCCCGGCUCAACCGGGGAGGGUCAUUGGAAACUGGGAGACUUGAGUGCAGAAGAGGAGAGUGGAAUUCCAUGUGUAGCGGUGAAAUGCGUAGAUAUAUGGAGGAACACCAGUGGCGAAGGCGGCUCUCUGGUCUGUAACUGACGCUGAGGCUCGAAAGCGUGGGGAGCAAACAGG